UGUGCAAAAGUUCACUAAAUUGUACUCUAUCUACACCUUCCUCUUAAUUAGUUUUGUUUCUCUAUAUCAUUUCCAUAUCUGACACACAAGAGGAGAAUACUUUAUUCUCUAGGGAAGGAAUAAAAAGGAGCCAAGAACUGAACUCAGCCAACCAGCUGUUUCUUUGACCUGAAUAAUGUUUAAAAUGGGUUUUAAUUUAAAUGUCUUUAGGUGUGACCUGAACUCUUCCCAAGUCCAGCAAUUCCUUAUUGUCUUAUACCAAAGAUUUACCCAUUUAUGUUUCCUUCCUAAUUUUUUUACCUUUGAUGUGUGCUCCCAUUCCAGGAGUUUCUAUCCCAGGCAUAACAUGGAAAUAAGGACCUAGAGGAAAUGCUUAUAAUAUUGGGGUAAACUUGAGAGGAGUGACAGCCCCCACUUAAACUGUGAAGCAAGGCAGCUCUUGUGCUUUUUCCACUGGCUUUCCUCUGGUACAGAUCAUCUUUUCAGUAAUACAUUUAUUGUGUGAAUUAACAUGGACUUGUAUAAUUUGAGAGGGUUAGAAGAAAACUAUGUGCAAUAUGAAGCAAGAUCAAAGAGUUUCUGAAAAGAUACAAAACUGCUGGUAUAAUGGGAACCAUAUCUCUGACAGCACAAGAUCAAGGAACAGAGAGAGGAGGGAGUGAAUACCUAACUUUUGGGAAAUGAAAAAGGCCACAUGAUAUGUUAGCUGAAUCUUGACUG
Molecule: long non-coding RNA, 720 nt
Organism: Dama dama (fallow deer)
Lineage: Eukaryota; Metazoa; Chordata; Mammalia; Artiodactyla; Cervidae
Exons: 3
Source: RefSeq, a predicted model, not a curated record